UUUUUUUUUUUAAUUUUUUUUUAUUGAUUUUACAGAGAAGUUUUAGACAAUACAAACAAAUAAAAAGACAUACAAACAUGUAUAGUUUCAUAACCUUUUUUUCAUAUCCCUCUCUUCUCGGACUCCCCCAAACCUCCCCUUCCUACAUCCCAAUUUCCAAAAUUAUUUCAGCAAAUUCUAAAUAAUUUUAUCAAAUAUAUUUUUUCUUAUUCUUUUCUUCAACUUAAUCUUAUGUCGCUGUAAUCUCCUUUUCUUUCUCCAAACCUCGACAUUUUAGCAUUCCUCAAUUUUAUAAUAGUUCUUAAGAUAAAUUUUAAAUUUCUUCCAAUCUUCUUUCGCCGUCUCUUUCCCCUGCUCACGGAUUCUGCCAGUCAUCUCAGCCAAUGUCAUAUAGUCUAUCACCUUCAUCUGCCACUCUUCCAGGGUGGGUAGUUCUUCUGUCUUCCAAUACUUUGCAAUGAGUAUUCUUGCUGCUGUCGUAGCAUACAUAAAAAAAGUUCUAUCUUUCUUUAACACCAAUUGGCCGGCAAUGCCCAAGAGAAAGGCUUCUGGUUUCUUCGGGAAAGUACAUUUAAGUACCUUUUUCAGUUCAUUAUAUAUCAUUUCCCAGAAAGCCUUAAUCUUCGGGCACGUCCACCAAAGGUGAUAGAAAGUACCUUCAGUUUCUUUACACUUCCAACACUUAUUAUCAGGCAAAUGAUAAAUUUUUGCUAGCUUGACUGGGGUCAUGUACCACCUAUAGAUCAUUUUCAUAAUAUUUUCCUUUAAGGCAUUACAUGCCGUAAAUUUUAUACCUGUGUUCCACAACCAUUCCCAGUCAGCAAACAUAAUGUUAUGACCAAUGUCCUGUGCCCACUUAAUCAUAGCUGAUUUAACUAUUUCAUCUUGUGUAUUCCAUUUCAGCAGCAGAUUAUACAUUCUUGACAAGUUCUUAGUAUUGGGUUCUAACAGUUCAGUUUCUAAUUUUGAUUUCUCCGCCUGGAAGCCAAUUUUCCUGUCUUGUUUAUACACCUCCAUUAUUUGAUAAUAAUGGAGCCAAUCUCGAACUUUGGGUUUCAAUUUCUCAUAACUCUGUAACUUCAACUUAUCUCCAUCUUGUUCC
Non-coding RNA from Podarcis lilfordi (Lilford's wall lizard), 1102 nucleotides. Lineage: Eukaryota; Metazoa; Chordata; Lepidosauria; Squamata; Lacertidae. The record is from the annotation of a GenBank genome assembly.